UAAACACUCGCUUAAGGUGACUUACUACAAACCAGAUGAGAAAACACUCGCUAAGAUGUGCGAUGCUGUGCCACGACAUGGAAUUAGCAGUGCUCAAUGGAGAAAGUUAGUUAAGUAUUGGGCUUCGGAUGAAGGGCAAAAACUUUCAGAAUAUGGAAAGGCUGCACGGGCCGCUCAAAAUCAAUUUCAUAGAUCUGGUUGUAACAGCUAUGCGAAUCAACAAGCUGAUUAUGAAGACGAGCAUGGAAAAAAAUGAGCUUAUUAGCCCUUUGGAUAAAGUCUCAUUCCGGCAAGGACGAGACCUUUCUUCCAAGCACAGUCACUGAAGAUU
Spinacia oleracea (spinach) is the source of this 331-nucleotide long non-coding RNA. RefSeq lists it as uncharacterized. The record is from RefSeq and is a predicted model, not a curated record. The transcript is spliced from 3 exons. NCBI's taxonomy places the organism in Eukaryota, Viridiplantae, Streptophyta, Magnoliopsida, Caryophyllales, Amaranthaceae.